AGCGAGGCUAUAUGCAGGUGGUACCGUAGAUUAGAAUGUAUAGUUAACGUAACUAUGCAUAGAUGAACAGGGAGCCGCAGCAGCGUAAAAGAAGGGUAUUUCACAUGAUUUAAGGGUUGUAAUCCAAUUUGCGAAAGAUUGUCUUCCAAAUAUUCUCAAAUCUGCCUAAAACAAUAUGUGCAUUUACCCACCAGACUUAUUGCGGGUAAAAGGCUUUGAGUGAUGACAUAGUGCACAUAAAAAUAACUUUUGCCACUAAAUUCCCACGUACCAAAUGAAAAAGUUAAAUAGUUUUCCAUCAUUUUCAUCUCCACUGAUGGUUUGGUCUCAAAAACUGUUUUGUUAAAUAACAAAUGUGUCCACUCUGGUCAUGGCAUAUGCACUUGAACCACCCGCUCACAGGCUACCACCCGCUCACAGGCUACCACCCGCUCACAGGCUACCACCCGCUCACAGGCUACCAACCGCUCACAGGCUACCACCCGCUCACAGGCUACCAACCGCUCACAGGCUACCACCCGCUCACAGGCUACCAACCGCUCACAGGCUACCACCCGCUCACAGGCUACCACCCGCUCACAGGC
Long non-coding RNA from Oncorhynchus tshawytscha (Chinook salmon), 584 nucleotides. The record is from Ensembl. NCBI's taxonomy places the organism in Eukaryota, Metazoa, Chordata, Actinopteri, Salmoniformes, Salmonidae.